RNAcentral lists this ribosomal RNA (253 nucleotides) under uncultured bacterium. Its description in RNAcentral is "partial 16S ribosomal RNA". It matches the Rfam family "Bacterial small subunit ribosomal RNA", at positions 524 to 776 of the family's 1533-position model. The record is from RNAcentral.
UACGGAGGGUGCAAGCGUUAAUCGGAAUUACUGGGCGUAAAGCGUGCGCAGGCGGUUUGUUAAGUCCGUUGUGAAAUCCCUGAGCUCAACUUGGGAAUUGCAAUGGAUACUGGCAAGCUGGAGUAUGGUAGAGGAAGGUGGAAUUCCCGGUGUAGCAGUGAAAUGCGUAGAGAUCGGGAGGAACACCAGUGGCGAAGGCGGCCUUCUGGACCAAUACUGACGCUCAUGCACGAAAGCGUGGGGAGCAAACAGG